RNAcentral lists this transfer RNA (78 nucleotides) under Candidatus Saccharimonadota bacterium. RNAcentral describes it as "Candidatus Saccharibacteria bacterium tRNA-His". It matches the Rfam family "tRNA". Rfam says of the family: Transfer RNA (tRNA) molecules are approximately 80 nucleotides in length. Their secondary structure includes four short double-helical elements and three loops (D, anti-codon, and T loops). Further hydrogen bonds mediate the characteristic L-shaped molecular structure. tRNAs have two regions of fundamental functional importance: the anti-codon, which is responsible for specific mRNA codon recognition, and the 3' end, to which the tRNAs corresponding amino acid is attached (by aminoacyl-tRNA synthetases). tRNAs cope with the degeneracy of the genetic code in two manners: having more than one tRNA (with a specific anti-codon) for a particular amino acid; and 'wobble' base-pairing, i.e. permitting non-standard base-pairing at the 3rd anti-codon position. The record is from RNAcentral. Lineage: Bacteria; Candidatus Saccharimonadota.
GCCGGAUGUGGCUCAGUUGGUUAGAGCGCCUGCUUGUGGCGCAGGAGGCCGUGGGUUCAAGUCCCAUCAUUCGCCCCA